AUACGGAGGGUGCGAGCGUUGUCCGGAUUUAUUGGGUUUAAAGGGUGCGUAGGUGGCUUUAUAAGUCAGUGGUGAAAUACGGUUGCUCAACAAUCGAGGCGCCAUUGAUACUGUAAAGCUUGAAAUAAUUGGAGGCUGCCGGAAUGGAUGGUGUAGCGGUGAAAUGCAUAGAUAUCAUCCAGAACACCGAUUGCGAAGGCAGGUGGCUACGAUUGGUUUGACACUGAGGCACGAAAGCAUGGGGAGC
This 247-nucleotide ribosomal RNA is filed under the name uncultured bacterium. RNAcentral describes it as "partial 16S ribosomal RNA". It matches the Rfam family "Bacterial small subunit ribosomal RNA", at positions 523 to 769 of the family's 1533-position model. The record is from RNAcentral.